GAUGAACGCUGGCGGCGUGCCUAAUACAUGCAAGUCGAGCGAACGGACGAGAAGCUUGCUUCUCUGAUGUUAGCGGCGGACGGGUGAGUAACACGUGGAUAACCUACCUAUAAGACUGGGAUAACUUCGGGAAACCGGAUCUAAUACCGGAUGAUAUUUUGAACCGCAUGGUUCAAAAGUGAAAGACGGUCUUGCUGUCACUUAUAGAUGGAUCCGCGCUGCAUUAGCUAGUUGGUAAGGUAACGGCUUACCAAGGCAACGAUGCAUAGCCGACCUGAGAGGGUGAUCGGCCACACUGGAACUGAGACACGGUCCAGACUCCUACGGGAGGCAGCAGUAGGGAAUCUUGCGCAAUGGGCGAAAGCCUGACGGAGCAACGCCGCGUGAGUGAUGAAGGUCUUCGGAUCGUAAAACUCUGUUAUUAGGGAAGAACAUAUGUGUAAGUAACUGUGCACAUCUUGACGGUACCUAAUCAGAAAGCCACGGCUAACUACGUG
Molecule: ribosomal RNA, 497 nt
Filed under: uncultured bacterium
Lineage: Bacteria
Description: partial 16S ribosomal RNA
Rfam family: Bacterial small subunit ribosomal RNA
Source: RNAcentral